Molecule: ribosomal RNA, 471 nt
Filed under: uncultured bacterium
Lineage: Bacteria
Description: partial 16S ribosomal RNA
Rfam family: Bacterial small subunit ribosomal RNA
Source: RNAcentral
ACGAACGCUGGCGGCGUGCUUAACACCUGCAAGUCGCACGCUGAAGCUUGGUGCUUGCACUGGGUGGAUGAGUGGCGAACGGGUGAGUAAUACGUGAGUAACCUGCCCUUGACUCUGGGAUAAGCCUGGGAAACUGGGUCUAAUACUGGAUACGACAUGUCACCGCAUGGUGGUGUGUGGAAAGGGUUUUACUGGUUUUGGAUGGGCUCACGGCCUAUCAGCUUGUUGGUGGGGUAAUGGCUCACCAAGGCGACGACGGGUAGCCGGCCUGAGAGGGUGACCGGCCACACUGGGACUGAGACACGGCCCAGACUCCUACGGGAGGCAGCAGUGGGGAAUAUUGCACAAUGGGCGGAAGCCUGAUGCAGCGACGCCGCGUGAGGGAUGACGGCCUUCGGGUUGUAAACCUCUUUCAGCACGGAAGAAGCGAAAGUGACGGUACGUGCAGAAGAAGCGCCGGCUAACUACGUG